AAUAAGCGGAGGAAAAGAAACCAACAGGGAUUGCCCUAGUAACGGCGAGUGAAGCGGCAACAGCUCAAAUUUGAAAUCUGGCUUCGGCCCGAGUUGUAAUUUGCAGAGGAAGCUUUGGGCGCGGCACCGACUGAGUCCCCUGGAACGGGGCGCCAUAGAGGGUGAGAGCCCCGUAUAGUCGGACGCCUAGCCUGUGUAAAGCUCCUUCGACGAGUCGAGUAGUUUGGGAAUGCUGCUCAAAAUGGGAGGUAAAUUUCUUCUAAAGCUAAAUACCGGCCAGAGACCGAUAGCGCACAAGUAGAGUGAUCGAAAGAUGAAAAGCACUUUGAAAAGAGGGUUAAAUAGCACGUGAAAUUGUUGAAAGGGAAGCGCUUGUGACCAGACUUGCGCCUGGCUGAUCAUCCGGUGUUCUCACCGGUGCACUCUGCCAGGCUCAGGCCAGCAUCGGUUCUCGCGGGGGGAUAAAGGCCUCGGGAACGUAGCUCCUCCGGGAGUGUUAUAGCCCGGGGUGCCAUGCCCUCGCGGGGACCGAGGUUCGCGCAUCUGCAAGGAUGCUGGCGUAAUGGUCAUCAGCGACCCGUCUUGAAACACGGACCAAGGAGUCAAGGUUUUGCGCGAGUGUUUGGGUGUCAAACCCGCACGCGUAAUGAAAGUGAACGUAGGUGAGAGCUUCGGCGCAUCAUCGACCGAUCCUGAUGUUUUCGGAUGGAUUUGAGUAGGAGCGUUAAGCCUUGGACCCGAAAGAUGGUGAACUAUGCUUGGAUAGGGUGAAGCCAGAGGAAACUCUGGUGGAGGCUCGCAGCGGUUCUGACGUGCAAAUCGAUCGUCAAAUCUGAGCAUGGGGGCGAAAGACUAAUCGAACCAUCUA
This 868-nucleotide ribosomal RNA is filed under the name Staphylotrichum limonisporum. RNAcentral's name for it is "eukaryotic LSU rRNA". It matches the Rfam family "Eukaryotic large subunit ribosomal RNA", at positions 45 to 946 of the family's 3401-position model. Lineage: Eukaryota; Fungi; Ascomycota; Sordariomycetes; Sordariales; Chaetomiaceae. The record is from RNAcentral.